ACCUCUAAAGGAUAAUAGCCUAUCCAUUGGUCUUAGGAACCAAAAACUCUUGGUGCAAGUCCAAGUAGUGGUA
This 73-nucleotide transfer RNA is filed under the name Maurolicus muelleri (pearlsides). Its description in RNAcentral is "tRNA-Leu (CUN)". It matches the Rfam family "tRNA". Rfam says of the family: Transfer RNA (tRNA) molecules are approximately 80 nucleotides in length. Their secondary structure includes four short double-helical elements and three loops (D, anti-codon, and T loops). The record is from RNAcentral. Lineage: Eukaryota; Metazoa; Chordata; Actinopteri; Stomiiformes; Sternoptychidae.